Molecule: small nucleolar RNA, 102 nt
Organism: Heterocephalus glaber (naked mole-rat)
Lineage: Eukaryota; Metazoa; Chordata; Mammalia; Rodentia; Bathyergidae
Gene: SNORD13
Product: small nucleolar RNA, C/D box 13
Source: Ensembl
AUCCUUCGGUUCAUGAGUGUGAUGAUUGGGUGUUCAUGCUGUAUGCGUGAGAUGUGCCUCCCUCAAACCUUGUUACGGUGUCGGCACAUUACCCGUCUGAUC